AGAGUUUGAUCCUGGCUCAGAGCGAACGCUGGCGGCGUACUUAACACAUGCAAGUCGAACGGGGAUCGUCGGUGUAGCAAUACAUCGGCGGUUCUAGUGGCGCACGGGUGAGUAACACGUGGGUAACCUGUCCUUGAGUUCGGGAUACCCUCUCGAAAGGGAGGCUAAUACCGGAUACGUUCCCCGGAUUGCGAAAUCUGGGGAGGAAAGGCGGCGCAAGCUGCCGCUCUUGGAGGGGCUCGCGGCCUAUCAGCUAGUUGGUGAGGUAACGGCUCACCAAGGCUAUGACGGGUAGCUGGUCUGAGAGGACGACCAGCCACACGGGAGGAGAGACACGGUCCCGACUCCUACGGGAGGCAGCAGUGGGGAAUUUUCCGCAAUGGGCGAAAAGCCUGACGGAGAGGCGCCGCGUGGGGGACGAAGGCCUUCGGGUUGUAAACCCAUGUGAGAGGGAAAGAAGGGUCAUGUGGCUAACAUCCACGUGACUGACGGACCUCAGAGAAGCCCCCU
RNAcentral lists this ribosomal RNA (510 nucleotides) under uncultured soil bacterium. Its description in RNAcentral is "bacterial SSU rRNA". It matches the Rfam family "Bacterial small subunit ribosomal RNA", at positions 8 to 496 of the family's 1533-position model. The record is from RNAcentral.